UACGUAGGGCGCAAGCGUUAUCCGGAAUUAUUGGGCGUAAAGAGCUCGUAGGCGGUUUGUCGCGUCUGCCGUGAAAGUCCGGGGCUCAACUCCGGAUCUGCGGUGGGUACGGGCAGACUAGAGUGAUGUAGGGGAGACUGGAAUUCCUGGUGUAGCGGUGAAAUGCGUAGAUAUCGGGAGGAACACCGGUGGCGAAGGCGGCGAUCUGGGUAGAUACUGACGCUGAGGUGCGAAAGCGUGGGGAGCAAACAGG
RNAcentral lists this ribosomal RNA (253 nucleotides) under uncultured bacterium. RNAcentral's name for it is "partial 16S ribosomal RNA". It matches the Rfam family "Bacterial small subunit ribosomal RNA", at positions 524 to 776 of the family's 1533-position model. The record is from RNAcentral.